Diceros bicornis minor is the source of this 498-nucleotide non-coding RNA. The record is from the annotation of a RefSeq genome assembly. Lineage: Eukaryota; Metazoa; Chordata; Mammalia; Perissodactyla; Rhinocerotidae.
AUGGAGUUUGGGCUGAGCUGGGUUUUCCUUGUUGCUAUUUUAAGAGGUGUCCAGUGUGAGGUGCAGCUGGUGGAGUCUGGGGGAGGCUUGGUGAAGCCUGGGGGGUCUCUGAGACUCUCCUGUGCAGCCUCUGGAUUCACCUUCAGCAGCUAUGGCAUGUACUGGGUCCGCCAGGCUCCCAGGAAGGGGAUGGAGUGGGUCUCAGUUAUUAGUAGUAGUGGUAGUAGCACAAACUACGCUGACUCCGUGAAGGGCCGAUUCACCAUCUCCAGAGACAACUCCAAGAACACGCUGAAUCUGCAAAUGAACAGCCUGAGAACCGAGGACACGGCCGUGUAUUACUGUGCAAGAAAAGAUGGAACAGGACCUUAUGGGGGCUCACUGGGAGACUGGGGAUCAGGCACCCUCACCUCCCUCCCAGCCUUUUUCUUCUUUCCAAUCUCACAGAGCAGUCUCAGUGUGGAAGUGCCUCCAAAUGUUUUCUUUGUUCUUAUCUGA